Molecule: ribosomal RNA, 1375 nt
Filed under: metagenome
Description: bacterial LSU rRNA
Rfam family: Bacterial large subunit ribosomal RNA
Source: RNAcentral
GGAGUGUAGGCGUUGAGGAUGGCAGGCAAAUCCACCGUCCGAGCUGAACUUGAGAGUAUGGAGUCUUCUUCGGAAGAAUCCAAUAGUGUGGGUAAUCAUACUCCCGAGAAAAUCCGCUAAGCUUAACCCAUGCGGCACCCGUACCGCAAACGGACACACGUGGUCGGGUAGAACAUACUGAGGCGUUGAGAGAUUCAUGGUUAAGGAACUAGGCAAAUUGACCCUGUAACUUCGGGAUAAAGGGUCCUCGUGAAUAGCGAGGCGCAGAGAAUAGGUCCAGGCAACUGUUUAACAAAAACACAGGGCUGUGCAAACUCGAAAGAUGACGUAUACAGCCUGACACCUGCCCGGUGCCGGAAGGUUAAGAGGAGAUGUCACUCGCAAGAGGAAGCAUUGAAUUGAAGCCCCGGUAAACGGCGGCCGUAACGAUAACGGUCCUAAGGUAGCGAAAUUCCUUGUCGGGUAAGUUCCGACCUGCACGAAUGGUGUAAUGAUCCGGACGCUGUCUCAACCAUGAGCUCAGUGAAAUUGUAGUAUCGGUGAAGAUGCCGAUUACCCGCGAUGGGACGAAAAGACCCCGUGAACCUUUACUACAGCUUAGCAUUGACCUUGGUCAUCCGAUGUGUAGGAUAGGCCGGAGGCUUCGAAGCGGGAGCGCCAGCUUUCGUGGAGCCAUCCUUGAAAUACGGCCCUUUGGCUGUCUGAGGUCUAACGCGCGAUGCGCGGACACUGCUUGGUGGGUAGUUUGACUGGGGUGGUCGCCUCCAAAAGCGUAACGGAGGCUUCCAAAGGUGCCCUCGGGUCGAUUGGUAACCGACCUCAAAGAGUGCAAUGGCAUAAGGGCGCUUGACUGGGAGGCAGACAUGCCGAGCAGGCAGGAAACUGGGGCAUAGUGAUCCGGCGGAUGUGUAUGGAAACUCCGUCGCUCAAAGGAUAAAAGGUACUCCGGGGAUAACGGGCUGAUUCCCCCCAAGAGCUCAUAUCGACGGGGUGGUUUGGCACCUCGAUGUCGGCUCGUCACAUCCUGGGGCUGGAGAAGGUCCCAAGGGUUGGGCUGUUCGCCCAUUAAAGUGGCACGCGAGCUGGGUUCGGAACGUCGUGAGACAGUUCGGUCUCUAUCUAUCGUGGGCGUGGGAGUUUUGCGUGGUGCCGUCACUAGUACGAGAGGACCGUGAUGGACAGACCUCCGGUUUACCAGUUGUGCCGCCAGGCGCACCGCUGGGUAUCUGAGUCUGGAUUGGAUAAGCGCUGAAAGCAUCUAAGUGCGAAGCCAGCCGCAAGAUGAGAACUCCAUUGAGGGUCGUCAGAGACGAUGACGUUGAUAGGAUGCAGGUGUAAAGACAGCGAUGUCAAAGCCGAGCAUUACUAAUUGCCC